AUGCGGCUUCUCUGUCGCCGCCGAGGAGGAGACAUCGAUCGCCCUGUCGUCACUGGUCGUGGUGGUCGUCGAGGCGUUCUUGCUUCCGUCCGAGGACACCGGCAUCAAAUUCUCGCCGCCUGGGCUCGUGAUCAUCUCCAUGGCGUCAAACGGCGCCACUCCGAGGUGCAAGAACGGCAGGUACUGGACGGCCAUGUCGUCGUUCUCUUUGGCCGUGUUGAGGUCAGGGAACUCGAUACCCAAGUAGUCCACCGGCGGCGCCGGCGGCUCAAGGAUGACCACCUCCGACGUGAUCGACGGCCCCGUCGCGGCGCGAUCCGAUGGCUCCGUGAUGCACGCGUCGCCGCGGCCGGAGCGGAGGGCGAGGGAGAGGCUUACGGUGCCAGCGGGCGAGUGGGUGAGAUCCGUGGACGACAGGGAGAACUCCCGCCGCUCCAGCCGCGCGCCGUCGGCGGCCGCGACUUGGGCGAGCGGCACGAGCGCGAACCCGAGGAGCUGAUCCUCGAGGAGGCUCUCGGCGCAGCUGCGCAUCCACACCUCGCACUUGAGCGCGUCGGUGCCGAGCCUGCCCCGGCGGACUCGCAGCGGCGGGAGGCGCUCGUCGAAGCGCGGGCUGGCGCCGCCCCCGGCGGCCACGCGCGUGGAGAGCGCCGGCGCGUGGGCCGGGCUGGACGUGAGCGAGAAGCGCGCGUACACGUCCUGGUCGGCGUAGAUGCAGAUGUUGUGGAUGCCGCGCGCGCCGUGCACGUACACGUCCAAGAAGCACCCGCCGCCACUCUCCUCGCCGUCGUCCUCCUCCAACCCUCCGCCGCCCCCGACAUGAUCCGGCACGUACCGGAAUCUGGCAGGCUCCAUUACCGAUGGACUCGCCGGAACGGAACCGAUUGA
RNAcentral lists this ribosomal RNA (888 nucleotides) under Triticum aestivum (bread wheat). RNAcentral's name for it is "partial small subunit ribosomal RNA". The record is from RNAcentral. Lineage: Eukaryota; Viridiplantae; Streptophyta; Magnoliopsida; Poales; Poaceae.